CUACUCUUGACAUCCUGCGAACUUGGUAGAGAUACCUUGGUGCCUUCGGGAACGCAGAGACAGGUGAUGCAUGGCUGUCGUCAGCUCGUGUUGUGAAAUGUUGGGUUAAGUCCCGUAACGAGCGCAACCCUUGUCCUUAGUUGCCAUCAUUUAGUUGGGGACUCUAAGGAGACUGCCGGUGACAAACCGGAGGAAGGCGGGGACGACGUCAAGUCAUCAUGGCCCUUACGAGUAGGGCUACACACGUGCUACAAUGGCAAGUACAGAGGGCCGCGAAGCCGCGAGGUGGAGCUAAUCUCAAAAAGUCGUCUCAGUUCGGAUUGUUCUCUGCAACUCGAGAGCAUGAAGUUGGAAUCGCUAGAAAUGGCAGAUCAGCAUGCUGCGGUGAAUACGUUCCCGGGUCUGUACACACCG
Molecule: ribosomal RNA, 414 nt
Filed under: uncultured bacterium
Lineage: Bacteria
Description: bacterial SSU rRNA
Rfam family: Bacterial small subunit ribosomal RNA
Source: RNAcentral